UAAGGAUGGGUCUGCGGCCUAUCAGGUAGUAGUGGGUGUAGCGUACCUACUAGCCUACGACGGGUACGGGUUGUGAGAGCAAGAGCCCGGAGAUGGAUUCUGAGACACGAAUCCAGGCCCUACGGGGUGCAGCAGGCGCGAAAACUUUACAAUGCUGGCAACAGCGAUAAGGGAACCUCGAGUGCCAGGUUACAAAUCUGGCUGUCGAGAUGCCUAAAAAGCAUUUCAUAGCAAGGGCCGGGCAAGACCGGUGCCAGCCGCCGCGGUAACACCGGCGGCUCGAGUGGUAACCGUUAUUAUUGGGUCUAAAGGGUCUGUAGCCGGCCGGAUAAGUCUCUUGAGAAAUCUGGCAGCUUAACUGUCAGGCUUUCAGGAGAUACUGUCUGGCUCGAGGCCGGGAGAGGUGAGAGGUACUUCAGGGGUAGGGGUGAAAUCUUGUAAUCCUUGAAGGACCACCAGGGGCGAAGGCGUCUCACCAGAACGGACCUGACGGCAAGGGACGAAAGCUAGGGGCACGAACCGGAUUAGAUACCCGGGUAGUCCUAGCCGUAAACGAUACUCGCUAGGUGUCGGCCACGGUGCGACCGUCGUCGGUGCCGUAGGGAAGCCGUGAAGCGAGCCACCUGGGAAGUACGGCCGCAAGGCUGAAACUUAAAGGAAUUGGCGGGGGAGCACCACAACGGGUGGAGCUUGCGGUUUAAUUGGAUUCAACGCCGGAAAUCUUACCGGGACCGACAGCAAUAUGAAGGCCAGGCUGAAGACUUUGCCGGAUUAGCUGAGAGGUGGUGCAUGGCCGUCGUCAGUUCGUACUGUGAAGCAUCCUGUUAAGUCAGGCAACGAGCGUGACC
This 848-nucleotide ribosomal RNA is filed under the name uncultured archaeon. RNAcentral's name for it is "bacterial SSU rRNA". It matches the Rfam family "Archaeal small subunit ribosomal RNA", at positions 204 to 1052 of the family's 1478-position model. The record is from RNAcentral.